UAGGGAAUUUUCGGCAAUGGGCGAAAGCCUGACCGAGCAAUGCCGCGUGAAUGAUGAAAUUCUUCGGAAUGUAAAAUUCUGUUAUUAGGGAAGAAAGAUAUGCUUAGGAAAUGAGGUGUAUUUGACGGUACUUAAUGAGAAAGCCCCGGCUAACUAUGUGCCAGCAGCCGCGGUAAUACAUAGGGGGCAAGCGUUAUCCGGAAUUAUUGGGCGUAAAGAGUGCGUAGGUGGCUCGUUAAGUCUGACGUGAAAUCCCACAGCUCAACUGUGGAGGGUCGUUGGAAACUGGCAAGCUUGAAUCCAGAAGAGGUAAGUGGAAUUCCAUGUGUAGCGGUAAAAUGCUUAGAUAUCACGAAGAACUCCAAUUGCGAAGGCAGCUCACUAGACUGCAACUGACACUGAGGCUCGAAAGUGUGGGUAUCAAACA
RNAcentral lists this ribosomal RNA (427 nucleotides) under uncultured bacterium. RNAcentral's name for it is "bacterial SSU rRNA". It matches the Rfam family "Bacterial small subunit ribosomal RNA", at positions 355 to 774 of the family's 1533-position model. The record is from RNAcentral.